AUAAUAGAAGUUUUGGAUCCUUAUAAAAAUGAAAAAAAAAAAAUUAAUCUUUGGACUCCUUCUUUCGAAGUGUUGGAAAAUAAAAGGGAACAGCAACAUUUUUACCAGCCAUUAGGAUAUAAUGAAAAACAAAAAAAAAAAAAAAAACAAAAAAAAAAAAAAAAAAAAAAAAAAAAAAAAUUACAAACAAAAUGGCAGACAAAAUAAGCAGAGUGGUUAUGAUGCUAAAUGUAAUAACACGAGUGAGCAAAUUUUGGAAAAUAAUAAAAAUGGAGGAAUUGGUAAUAGUGGAGGAAUUGACAAAAAUGAAGGAAGUUAUAAAAGUGAAAGUAGCAAUAGUGGCAAUAGUAGCAAUAGUGGCAAUAGUAGCAAUAGUGGCAAUAGUAGCAAUAGUGGCAAUAGUAGCAAUAGUGGAAAUAGUAGCAAUAGUAGCAAUAGUGGCAAUAGUAGCAAUAGUGGCAAUAGUGGUAAUAGUGGCAAUAGUGAAGACGGUAGCGAUGGUGGAGAAAUCAGCGACAUAAGUGAAAGCACUAAUCAAAGUCAAUGUAGUAAUAAAAACAAAUUAAAUUUUUCCAAAAACAUUUUAAAAAACUCAUUGAAUUUGUUAUCAUAUAAAGAGAAAAUUAAAAUUAUCCAUAAUGACGAAACAUUAGAUAUAACCUUAUACAGUAGUGGCUAUUCUUUAGGUAGUUGUAAUUUUUUUAUUACUAACCAUUUUGUAAAAUUAUUUAUUAUUAAUAAAAGUACUUAUAAUUUAAAAAGAUAUCCAUCUUCUUUUGAUUAUACAUAUUUACAUCAAGCCGAUUUUGUUUUAUUUACUUCUUACUAUGAUAGUAUAGAAGAAACAUACCCAUUUAUAUGUGAAAGUGAUAAUAAUUAUACAAAGGAUAAUAAUGGAAAAACAGAUUUUCACAAAACAGUAGAACCAACUGAUAUUGUAAAAUCAACUGAUUGUUGUGACCGACAAGUAUCGAAAAAUAAAAAACUAUAUGAAGUAGAAAAAUUAAUUAAAAAUAAAUUAAAUAUAUUUUUAGAAAAAUCAUAUAAAGAUAGUUUAAAUAAAAUUUGUUCUAUUAUUUUAAAAACAAUUAAAAAAAAAGGAUGUGUUUUAAUACCUGUAGAUUUACACUAUUUAUAUUUUAUUGAAUUAAUCGAAUUAGUAGGAGUAAUAAUAAGUAAAUAUUUAACAAAAGAUGAACAAGUUUUUAUUAUUAGUAUUUUAAAAAAUGUAAAAAAUAUAAUAAAACAAACUGAAUUAUGUACUGAAUGGGUAGAUGAUUUUCGAAAAAAUAAAUCGUUAAAAACAGAAAACCCACAAGGACCAUUUUCAAUAGAAAUUAUGAUACAAAAUAAUAGAUUAAUUAUAGGAAACUCAAUUAACGAUAUAGAUAAACAGUUUAGACGUCGUUCUUGUGUUUGUUUUAUACAAGAUUCGAGUUUACGAUUUUUCGAAGCAUAUAACUUGAUAAAAAAAUGGAAAAAUAAUGAAAAUAAUACACUUUUAUUAAUCGAUCCUUAUUAUAAUCCUGUAUCUGUUUUAUAUCCAUUUAAUUUGUAUGAUAAAAAAAUAAAUAUAUAUUAUUGUCCUCUAUCUUUUGAUCUAAACCAAUCUAAUAUUGUAAAUAUUAUAAACAAAAAUGAAAAUAAACAGUGUGUUUAUUUAUUGUCUCAUAACUUAAAAAAGGUGUUUACAAACAAUAAUCAAAUGAAUCUUACAGAAAAUAAAAACAAAACCGAUAAAGUAACUAAUAAAAAACAUAUCAACAAUUCCGACACGUGUAAUGAAUUAUUAAAAACAAACGAAGAUUGUACUAACCUAAAUGAUUACUAUAACUAUGAUGGAACAUGUAAUAUAUCUAACAUAAUAAACUUAUCUCAAAAUUCUAAUCUUAAUAAAAACAAGUCAUUAAAUAUACAAAAUAAUAUUAUAUAUAUUUAUCCAUUUAAAACGGAACAUAUAUGUUUUAACGAUUUUUUAUUAUUUAAUAAAAAAAUGCAUCCAGUUUGUUUUACUGCAGAUGGAACUGAAAAUUUAGAACAAAUUUUAACAAAAAUAGAUGAUUUUUAUACUGCAAAAGUUAGAUCAAUUUAUACCAGUUCUUUUUCUGGUGAUUUUAUCAAUGUCCAAAGCAUAGAAAAACUAUCAAAUUGUCAAUAUAAAAAUGUAACAGACGAAGUGAACACACAAAACUUAUCAAAUUCAAAUCUUUGGUUUGGUACCAUAAACGAAAAACAGUUUAUAACAUAUUUAGAAACAUAUGGUUAUAAUGAAAACGACAUUGAACUUAUAUAUCCUGACAAAAACGAACAAUCAAAUGAAAAUGCAAACAAUUUUUUAUGGUGCAUUUCAAUAAAUUCAAUAAAUUCAAAAAUAACAUGUUACACGAAAUAUAACAUUGAGGUAUUUGGUGAUAAUAUACAAUUACGCCAUAAUGUUAAAAAUAUAAUUAAACAAAUGACACAUUCUCUAUGAUAAUUAUUUCAAAAGCAAAGUAACACUGCUCAAAUAAAGUGUAAUACGUGAACA
Long non-coding RNA from Piliocolobus tephrosceles (Ugandan red Colobus), 2527 nucleotides. NCBI's taxonomy places the organism in Eukaryota, Metazoa, Chordata, Mammalia, Primates, Cercopithecidae. The record is from Ensembl.